UCUACGGGUGGCAGCAGUGAGGAAUAUUGGUCAAUGGCCGGAAGGCUGAACCAGCCAAGCCGCGUGAAGGACGAAGGUGCCAAGCAUUGUAAACUUCUUUUGUCAAGGGACAAAAUCAGGCUCGAGAGCCUGACCGAGGGUACUUGAAGAAAAAGCAUCGGCUAACUCCGUGCCAGCAGCCGCGGUAAUACGGAGGAUGCGAGCGUUAUCCGGAUUUAAUGGGUUUAAAGGGAGCGUAGGCGGACUGUUAAGUCAGUGGGAAAAGGGCGGGGGCCAACCCCCGGCAAGCAUUUGAAACUGGCUGUCUUGAGAUGUCGAGAGGUAUGCGGAAUGCGCGGUGUAGCGGUGAAAUGCUUAGAUAUUACGCAGAACUCCGAUUGCGAAGGCAGCAUACCGGCGCUCAACUGACGCUCAUGCACGAAAGUGUGGGUAUCGAACAGGAUUAGAUACCCGGGUAGUC
RNAcentral lists this ribosomal RNA (460 nucleotides) under uncultured bacterium. RNAcentral describes it as "partial 16S ribosomal RNA". It matches the Rfam family "Bacterial small subunit ribosomal RNA", at positions 338 to 795 of the family's 1533-position model. The record is from RNAcentral.